AGCGAACGCUGGCGGCAGGCCUAACACAUGCAAGUCGAACGAACCUUUCGGGGUUAGUGGCGGACGGGUGAGUAACACGUGGGAACGUGCCGUUAGGUUCGGAAUAACUCAGGGAAACUUGUGCUAAUACCGAAUGUGCCCUUCGGGGGAAAGAUUUAUCGCCUUUAGAGCGGCCCGCGUCUGAUUAGCUAGUUGGUUGAGGUAAUGGCUCACCAAGGCGACGAUCAGUAGCUGGUCUGAGAGGAUGAUCAGCCACAUUGGGACUGAGACACGGCCCAAACUCCUACGGGAGGCAGCAGUGGGGAAUCUUGCGCAAUGGGCGAAAGCCUGACGCAGCCAUGCCGCGUGAAUGAUGAAGGUCUUAGGAUUGUAAAAUUCUUUCACCGGGGACGAUAAUGACGGUACCCGGAGAAGAAGCCCCGGCUAACUUCGUG
This 434-nucleotide ribosomal RNA is filed under the name uncultured bacterium. Its description in RNAcentral is "partial 16S ribosomal RNA". It matches the Rfam family "Bacterial small subunit ribosomal RNA", at positions 29 to 507 of the family's 1533-position model. The record is from RNAcentral.